CCCUUCUCAGGGUCACAUCUGGAGAGUUUCCAGUACUCUAUCAGUCCCGAUGAGGAGAGGGAGAGUCAAGCAGAGGCAUUGCAUUCCUAGCCUGGGCAGUGGCUAGAGAGUGGAAGGCAAUCUGCUACAGUC
Small nucleolar RNA from Ornithorhynchus anatinus (platypus), 132 nucleotides. NCBI's taxonomy places the organism in Eukaryota, Metazoa, Chordata, Mammalia, Monotremata, Ornithorhynchidae. The record is from RefSeq and is a predicted model, not a curated record.